RNAcentral lists this ribosomal RNA (460 nucleotides) under uncultured bacterium. RNAcentral's name for it is "partial 16S ribosomal RNA". It matches the Rfam family "Bacterial small subunit ribosomal RNA", at positions 338 to 795 of the family's 1533-position model. The record is from RNAcentral.
CCUACGGGGGGCAGCAGUGAGGAAUAUUGGUCAAUGGACGGAAGUCUGAACCAGCCAUGCCGCGUGCAGGAAGACGGCUCUAUGAGUUGUAAACUGCUUUUGUACAAGGGUAAACCUGAAUACGGGUAUUCAGCUGAAAUUACUGUACGAAUAAGGAUCGGCUAACUCCGUGCCAGCGGCCGCGGUAAUACGGAGGAUCCAAGCGUUAGCCGGAUUUAUUGGGUUUAAAGGGUGCGUAGGCGGAUUGAUAAGUUAGAGGUGAAAUGUACGAGCUUAACCCGGGAACUGCCUCUAAUACUGUUGAUCUAGAGAGUAGAUGCGGUAGGCGGAAUGUAUGGUGUAGCGGUGAAAGGCUUAGAGAUCAUACAGAACACCGAUUGCGAAGGCAGCUUACCAAUCUAUAUCUGACGUUGAGGCACGAAAGCGUGGGGAGCAAACAGGAUUAGAUACCCCUGUAGUC